AAGUCGUAACAAGGUUUCCGUAGGUGAACCUGCGGAAGGAUCAUUAACACGUAUACCCAAAACGUAUCAACCCCUUCGUGCUCUUUGAGUUCGUGAUGAACUUGUCCUUUUCUUUAAGGAACAAGCUCGUUCUGUGUGGAACAGGUCCUUGGACUUGGGAAGGCCGAAUGAGCGAGUUCACCAAAGGAAGGGGGCGGGUUUCGCGUUCUCUUUAUUAACCCCUUUUGUUACAGUUUUUCUGAUACCUAAGUACACUUGGUUCAAAGGCCUUGCGCCGGCGACCCACUUGAACUUAACCAAUUAUUGACAACUCUUAACAAUGGAUAUCUUGGUUCUC
RNAcentral lists this unclassified non-coding RNA (337 nucleotides) under fungal sp. Its description in RNAcentral is "partial internal transcribed spacer region". The stretch from base 1 to 46 matches the Rfam family "Eukaryotic small subunit ribosomal RNA", at positions 1786 to 1831 of the family's 1831-position model. The record is from RNAcentral. Lineage: Eukaryota; Fungi.